RNAcentral lists this ribosomal RNA (620 nucleotides) under Methylosinus sp. enrichment culture clone PPN M4.1. RNAcentral's name for it is "bacterial SSU rRNA". It matches the Rfam family "Bacterial small subunit ribosomal RNA", at positions 51 to 663 of the family's 1533-position model. The record is from RNAcentral. Lineage: Bacteria; Pseudomonadati; Pseudomonadota; Alphaproteobacteria; Hyphomicrobiales; Methylocystaceae.
AAAYCAGCAAGUCGAAUCGGURGCAGGCCUUCUGGCGCUGGACGAGUGGGGGACGUAAUGAGUAAUGCAAUAGGAAUCUGCCUAUUAGUGCGGGGACAACGUGGGGAAACUCACGCUAAUACCGCAUACGUCCUACGGGGGAAAGGCUGGGGAUCUUCGGACCUGGCGCUAAUAGAUGAGCCUAUGUYGGAUCAUCUAGUUGGUAGGGUAAUGAUCUCCCAAGGCGACGAUCCAUAGCUGGUCUGAGAGGAUGAUCAUCCACACCGGGASUGAGACACGGCCCAGACUCCUACGGGAGGCAGCAGUGGGGAAUAUUGGACAAUGGGGGAAAGCCUGAUCCAGCAAUACCGCGUGUGUGAAGAAGGCCUCAGGGUUGUAAAGCACUUUCAAUAGGAAGGAAUACCUCCCCGGCUAAUACCCGGUAGCCUGACAUUACCUAUACAAGAAGCACCGGCUAACUCCGUGCCAGCAGCCGCGGUAAUACGGAGGGUGCAAGCGUUAAUCGGAAUUACUGGGCGUAAAGCGUGCGUAGGCGGUUGUUUAAGUCAGAUGUGAAAGCCCUGGGCUUAACCUGGGAUAUGCAUUUGAUACUCCGCACCUAGAGUUAGUCGAGGCGAGUG